UACGAAGGGGGCUAGCGUUGCUCGGAAUCACUGGGCGUAAAGCGCACGUAGGCGGACUUUUAAGUCAGGGGUGAAAUCCCGGGGCUCAACCUCGGAACUGCCUUUGAUACUGAUGGUCUCGAGUCCGAUAGAGGUGAGUGGAAUUCCUAGUGUAGAGGUGAAAUUCGUAGAUAUUAGGAAGAACACCAGUGGCGAAAGCGGCUCACUGGAUCGGUACUGACGCUGAGGUGCGAAAGCGUGGGGAGCAAACAGG
RNAcentral lists this ribosomal RNA (253 nucleotides) under uncultured bacterium. RNAcentral's name for it is "partial 16S ribosomal RNA". It matches the Rfam family "Bacterial small subunit ribosomal RNA", at positions 524 to 776 of the family's 1533-position model. The record is from RNAcentral.